GGCUAGAGUUUGAUCAUGGCUCAGGAUGAACGCUGGCGGCGUGCCUAACACAUGCAAGUCGAACGAAGCACUUACUUCCAAAUCUUCGGAAGAGGAGGUACUUGACUGAGUGGCGGACGGGUGAGUAACGCGUGGGGAACCUGCCCCGUACCGGGGGAUAACAGUCAGAAAUGACUGCUAAUACCGCAUAAGCGCACGAAAGCGCAUGCUUUUGUGUGAAAAACUCCGGUGGUACGGGAUGGUCCCGCGUCUGAUUAGCCAGUUGGCGGGGUAACGGCCCACCAAAGCGACGAUCAGUAGCCGGCCUGAGAGGGUGGACGGCCACAUUGGGACUGAGACACGGCCCAGACUCCUACGGGAGGCAGCAGUGGGGAGUAUUGCACAAUGGGGGAAACCCUGAUGCAGCGACGCCGCGUGAGCGAAGAAGUAUUUCGGUAUGUAAAGCUCUGUCAGCAGGGAAGAAAAUGACGGUACCUGACCAAGAAGCACCGGCUAAAUACGUGCCAGCAGCCGCGGUAAUACGUAUGGUGCAAGCGUUAUCCGGAUUUACUGGGUGUAAAGGGAGCGUAGACGGAGGGGCAAGUCUGAAGUGAAAGCCCGGGGCCCAACCCCGGGACUGCUUUAGAAACUGUCCGUCUGGAGUGCCGGAGAGGUAAGCG
This 659-nucleotide ribosomal RNA is filed under the name uncultured bacterium. RNAcentral's name for it is "bacterial SSU rRNA". It matches the Rfam family "Bacterial small subunit ribosomal RNA", at positions 1 to 663 of the family's 1533-position model. The record is from RNAcentral.